UAAAAUUUGGAGUUGUAGAACAAAAUCGAAUUUAUAUUGAUCAUUUAUGCACAUCUGUUAAUAAUGCAUCUGAUAGAUGACAGACCAAACGGCACGAAAAUCCAACGCCUAUAACGGCUAUAACCUAUAACGUUACAAUAAUACAAUAUUGUCUUUGUUUUAGUCAUAUUAUUAUGUAUUAUUGUUUGAGAACAACGUAAUCUCCUUCUGCGUCUGUAUUCAGUACACGUUCAUAGUGAUAUGUUAGAACGGUAGAUUGCGUCGUUGUUUACAAAAUAUUAUAAUAUCACGUCCACCACUUGUAAAAUUCUCGGUAAAAUAAUAGUGUAAGUGUGUAACCACUAACCACUGACCAGUAUAGACAUUAGUCAGUCAGUCCAGUCGUCAAUGUCAAUCCCUACACUAAAGUAUGCACUAUGCAAUGAACGUACAUCCCGUUUAAAACGAAACCGAUAUUUUUUUGAUAUUCUCUCGUCCCGGAAAGCUUCGAACAGCAUUGUAAUAUUAUUAUGUGCACAAGAGAAAAACCUGUACUAGAAAAAAAUCAAUAUUUUUACCGUUUUGUUUUUGAUCACAUCGAAACUAAAGUAUAUCGCUGUAACUUGAAAACAACAAUUUUUGUGUAACGACUAAUGAGCGCGGAAUGACAACGAUCAGUUGUGUAUGGCGGUAUGAGCCAUGUAUUUCAUAUGCGCAUAAUUGUGUAAACAAUAUAAAUAAUAUAAUGUUGUGAACCCUCGCAACAAAUGUGACGGUUAUCACACAUGCAUAACAGGUUUUUUCUAGAGUUGAGCCGAAAUCGUUCGUCCUAGCCCAACCCCCUAACCCCUUUCACUGGAUUCGCCAUUGUCAGUAUAUUUGGUCGUGCGAUAUCCUCAACCGGAUCAUAAACUAUAUUAUGUUUACGUGGACGCGAGAAUUUCCGUGUUGCCGUGAAAUGUAUGUCAUAAUUUUAAUGGUAAGUAAGAUUUAUUAAUUAUUUGUUUAGAUAUAUUCGUGUAUGCAGAUAUACAAAAAGCGUUAUUUUUCGUUAAAAAUGUAUGAGUUAUCAACACAUUAUAACA
Molecule: long non-coding RNA, 1064 nt
Organism: Melanaphis sacchari
Lineage: Eukaryota; Metazoa; Arthropoda; Insecta; Hemiptera; Aphididae
Exons: 3
Source: RefSeq, a predicted model, not a curated record